Molecule: long non-coding RNA, 2766 nt
Organism: Zingiber officinale
Lineage: Eukaryota; Viridiplantae; Streptophyta; Magnoliopsida; Zingiberales; Zingiberaceae
Exons: 4
Source: RefSeq, a predicted model, not a curated record
UCCCCUCUAUCCCUACUCGAUUCCCUAUUCUUUCUCCUCUGCUUCCGAACUUCUUCUCCUCUCCUUCUCACACGAUCGGCGCAGAUGCCACCCCGUGCUCUAGAUCUCUCCCUUCCACUCCGAUCGACACCGACCACCUCGAUGAGCCAAUCGUCGCCAGUACAGUUCUCCUUAGCCGGCGAUGCCCUUGUAACCUCAAAGCUACAACAUCGCCUCUCAUCUUCCAUGCGACGCCGACCGUCCGACUCUCUUUUGAACUUGUUGACGCUGGUGCCACUCUGCUAGGUCGCCUCAUCUCCGCCUUCCCAUUCCUAGCCGCGGACAUCAAGCACUCGCCGAAAGUUGAGAACCCGAGCUUCCUUUCUAGCCGUACCCUAGAUCCCUCCAGCUGGCCGCCGACGAUUCAACUCGAGUCGACAUUCUACAGAUUUAUAGCUACGCCCAUGUAAUGUUGGAUUCAUGCCACCACUGUGGACCGACGAUCCCUGAGGCGGUGAGGGCUGUUGGACAGAUUCACCAUCUCCAGAAGAGCUGAGAACUGCUGAUUUGGGUGAUCAACUGAUCUGACUAGAAGGUGAGCGUUGAUUGGGGUGCUGAUUUUGGGGCAUUGAUUGGUUGGACAGCGAUUCCACCUUGUUUCGCUUAGUAUUUCCAGCUUCAACCUCCUCCAACAACGGGUCAAGUGGCUGUGCUACGAAUUUAGGACUUUGGUUUGAGACGAGCAUCUUGAUGUGAGGGUUCUUUCAGAGGCGUAUUAUAUAAAGGCAAGUAUUUCUUCCUUGGUCUCUUUAAUUCUUUGAAUUUAGUGCAUGGUUGCAUUUACUUGAUGGAUUAAGUUACUUUACCUUAAAUCUAUCUUUAUUGUUAUCCUGCUUGAUAUUUAUGCUUGACCUUUGAGAUAAUCUAUUUAUUUUAUAUACAGUCUUAAGAUUUGAAUAUCUAUACUCUGUUGUUAUAUUCACAUGUAGAGUAUGUAUGAUAGGAUACGUUUUGUUGACUGACUUAACAUGCUGAUUAUGCAAAUGGUGUUAUGUGUAUACAUGUUUGGUAUGUGCCAUAAGAGUUAUCAUGUUGACCGUACAUUUAUAUGUUGUAUGUGUACACAUGUCCGGUGUCAUCUAUUGGAGGUUUUAUGUUGAUUGUAUCUAUGUUGUGCGUACAUGUGUCUGAUGUGUACUAUUGGAGGAUCAUGUCGAUAAUAUCUAUGUUAGUGAUUGUAUAUGUUUGGUGUGAUAUUGGAGGUAUUAUGUUGAUUAUACCUACAUUGUAUGUUACGUACGUAUAUGGUGUGUAUGUGUCUGGUGUGUAUGUGUCUGGUGAUGCUACUUACUGUAUUUGAUAUUUAGUAGACACUUGUUGGAUCUACCCAUACCUAUAGAUAUAGGUGUUUGAUGGAUCAUGUACUAGAGGUAUUUAUAAUGGAUUGAGGUGUUGCAUUGAUGAUGAUUCUGUCGAUAUCGUGUCGAUAUCAUGAUUUUUUAUAUCAUGUGUAUCAUUACAUCAUAUGCACACUGACGACCAUUGCUCCCUUGUGGUAUGAGCUAGUUGACAAUCAUGUAUAUAUAUAUGCAUGCUAACGACUAUUGGUCACAUAUGGUAUGAGCUAAUUAUGCGAUCAUUACUCACUUUCGAUAUGAGCUAGUUAUUAGUCAUGUUAGCUGUCAUUCGGCCAGUGUGGGAGAGUGGUACCUUGGAGUGGAGCUAGUCCUAUUGUGCCACCCGGCCACUCAGCGGCUGGAGUAAUAUCCGACCUUAUGAGCAGUCAGGGACCCUAAUGCUAUGUAGUUAGAUAACUACUUAGUGAACUGUUCACCUCGACCGCUAUAUAAUGAUUGGAGGAUAGUACAGUUGUCACAGAUUCAAGUCUCUCGGCCAUACAAGGGUGGUGGUGUCUCGAGAGGUUGUGGGGGUGACCAUGGAGCAUGCAUGCGCAUUUGCAUAUGAUGCACGGUGCAUCUGUGUAGAUAUAUUUGUAUACAUGUCUAGUAGAUACUAGCUACAUGUGAUUGUGAUAUGUUCCACUUGAAUGAGCUAUAUUUGCUGCAUAUGGUUGUCAUGCUUUAUACAUGUCAUUUAUUACACAUGUAUAUGCUACCGGUUAUAUUGCUCAGGUGUUAUGAGCAGAUUAUUGAUGAUCUCUGGUGAGUUUAUUGUUUAUUACACUAUGUAUAUUUGACCGGUUCGGAUAUGUGCAUUUAUUAUUACAUUUAUGUUCUUGACUUUAUAAGUUAAUACCAGAUUGGAUAGGUUCAUUUACUAUGACCAUAUGAUCAUGAUAUUAUGUGUUGAAUCCAGAUUGAGUAUGUACAUUCAUUAUGUCAGUUUAUGAUCAUGUUUUUAGUUCCCUGAUGAGACUGUAUACUUUGAUCUCCAUAUUUUAUUUUGACUAUGCACUAUCUUAUCUAUUACCCGCUGAGUGACUCGUACUCACCACCACAUUUGUGUAUUCUUUUUCCUAAGGUAACAGGUAGAUGAUUAUGGAGUCGCUUGGUGUAUCCUGUCUGCCGAUCUCACGUCACAUCUAAAGACGGUCUUUACUUCACUUUUGUUUUCUUAUGUGUUUUCUUUAUGAUAUUGACAUUGUAUUGGUGUUUAGCCAUGUGGCUUCUUUACCGUUUUUAGUAUUUUGUUUUGUUUAAGAAGUGUCGGCACACAUUGUAUCCUUUUGGUUUGUAUGGGCUUUCCUUUCAUUUUUUUGCAGUGUUUUUAGUAUAGCCAUGUGGGCUGUUUAUUAUACAACUGCGUGGUUAUGAUCAUUUUGUUCCA